RNAcentral lists this ribosomal RNA (253 nucleotides) under uncultured bacterium. Its description in RNAcentral is "partial 16S ribosomal RNA". It matches the Rfam family "Bacterial small subunit ribosomal RNA", at positions 524 to 776 of the family's 1533-position model. The record is from RNAcentral.
GACAGAGGGGGCAAGCGUUGCUCGGAAUUACUGGGCGUAAAGGGCGCGUAGGCGGGAUGGUAAGUCGGUCGUGAAAUCCCUCGGCUCAACCGAGGAACGUCGAUCGAUACUACCGUUCUUGAGGAUUGCAGAGGAGACUGGAAUUCCCGGUGUAGCGGUGAAAUGUGUAGAGAUCGGGAGGAACACCGGUGGCGAAGGCGGGUCUCUGGGCCGACACUGACGCUGAGGCGCGAAAGCCAGGGGAGCGAACGGG